AACGAACGCUGGCGGCAUGCCUAAUACAUGCAAGUCGAACGAGACCUCCGGGUCUAGUGGCGCACGGGUGCGUAACGCGUGGGAACCUGCCCUUAGGUUCGGACUAACUCCCCGACAGGGGUGCCAUCACGGGACAAGGGCUCCGACCCAAUGAUUUAUUGCCUUGGAAUGGUCCCGCGUUGAAUAAGCUAGUUGUUAGGCUAAAAGCCUACAAAGGGGACCAUCAAUAGCUGGUUUAGGAGGAAGAUCAGCAACUCUGGGACUGAGACGCGGCCCAGACUCCUACGGGAGGCGGCAGUGGGGAAUAUUGGACAAUGGGCGAAAGGCUGAUCCAGCAAGGCCGCGUGAGUGAUGAAGGCCUUAGAGUUGUAAAGCUCUUUUACCCGUGAUGAUAAUGACAGUACCGGGAGAAUAAGCUCCGGCUAACUCCGUG
RNAcentral lists this ribosomal RNA (433 nucleotides) under uncultured bacterium. Its description in RNAcentral is "partial 16S ribosomal RNA". It matches the Rfam family "Bacterial small subunit ribosomal RNA", at positions 29 to 507 of the family's 1533-position model. The record is from RNAcentral.